CUGGCACCUCCUUCAGUAGCCCUCCUCCGCUGGAUCUCAGGGCGCACCAAGAUCUCCUUAGGCGAGUAGCUCAGAAUCUGAGCCUGCAAGCCGAGGAGGUCUCUGAGAUCGAGGACCCUAUCGUCACCAUUCUCUCAUCUGAUGCCCCCACCAGGGUCGCCCUACCCUUCAUUAGGACGAUCCAGGCGAACGCCAAUACAAUCUGGCAGUCACCGGCCUCCAUCCCCCCUACGGCGAGGGGCGUCGAGAGGAAGUACAUGGCCCCCUCCAAGGGCUACGAGUAUCUCCACGUCCACCCGACACCGUGUUCCCUGGUGGUGCAGUCGGUGAACGAGAGGGAGCGCCACGGACAGGAAGCUCCAGCCCCCAAAUCCAAGGAGGCCAGGCGUAUGGACCUCCUCGGCCGCAAGGUCUAUUCGGCUGGGGCCCUUCAGCUCAGGGUUUCAAAUCAACAAGCCCUGCUCAGCAGAUAUGCUUUUAACUCGUGGGUGGCAGCGGACAAAUUCAAAGAGCUGCUGCCACAGGAGGCCCGCCAAGAAUUUGCGGCCAUUCUGGACGAGGGCAAGAAGGUUGCACGAACCUCGUUGCAAGCUUCUUUGGACGCUGCAGACUCGGCUGCCCGCACCCUCGCCUCGGGGGUAACGAUGCGCCGUAUCUCCUGGCUUCAGGUCUCUGGCCUUCCACCGGAGCUCCAAUACACCAUCCAGGACCUCCCGUUCGAAGGCCAGGGCCUGUUUUCAGAAAAGACAGACCCCAGACUUAAAAGUCUCAAAGACAAUCGGGUCAUUAUGCGCUCCCUCGGGAUGCACACGCCGGGAACGCAGCGCAGACCCUUCCGGCCACAGCAGCAACAGCAGCGCAGGCCAUACCCCCAGUUCCGCCAACGGCAGGCCCUCAAUAGGUGCCGUGGCAGGAAUGGAAGGCGUAGACAUUCGGAGAACCAGGGCGGGCAGAAUCAAAGCUCCUCUAAGCCCCCGCCUGGGCCCAAGCCUUUGUUUUGAAGGUGCGCCCGAGGGCUCAAUAACAGUCUUCCCCACGGAUCCUUCCCCCCCGUUU
Molecule: long non-coding RNA, 1056 nt
Filed under: Gopherus agassizii (Agassiz's desert tortoise)
Lineage: Eukaryota; Metazoa; Chordata; Testudines; Testudinidae
Description: lncRNA (ENSGAGG00000002694.1)
Source: RNAcentral